This 328-nucleotide ribosomal RNA is filed under the name uncultured Ignavibacterium sp. Its description in RNAcentral is "bacterial SSU rRNA". It matches the Rfam family "Bacterial small subunit ribosomal RNA", at positions 9 to 332 of the family's 1533-position model. The record is from RNAcentral. Lineage: Bacteria; Pseudomonadati; Ignavibacteriota; Ignavibacteria; Ignavibacteriales; Ignavibacteriaceae.
GAGUUUGAUCGUGGCUCAGGACGAACGUUGGCGGCGUGCUUAAUACAUGCAAGUCAACUGAAACAUUGGUAGCAAUACUGAUGUGGAGGUGGCGCACGGGUGAGUAACACGUAGGUAAUCUGCCUUCAGGUCUGACAUAACUCCGGGAAACCGAAGCUAAUAUCAGAUGAUGCAGCGGCUUGACAUCAAGACAGUUGUUAAAGCUUAGGCGCCUGAAGAUGAGCCUGCGUCUGAUUAGCUAGUUGGCGGGUAACGGCCCACCAAGGCAACGAUCAGUAGCUGGGUCUGACGAGGAUGAUCAGCCACACUGGAACUGGAGACACGGUCA